GCCAUUUUUAAUCCAACUGCAACACUUAUUUUCCUGCAUUCUUUCUCCCUUUUUACUUUUUUUUUCUUCUCUUCUCUCCUCAUUCUCUCUUCUUCUAUGCUUUCUUCUCUCAUAGUCACGCCAUUUUUAAUCCAACUGCAACACUUGUUUUCCUACGUCCUUUUUGCCUUUUUACUUUUCUUUUUUUUUUCUCUUCUCUCCUCCUCCUUUCUUCUUCUAUGCUUUCUUCUCUCAGAGUCAUGCCAUUUUUAAUUACCCCGCAGCCGCUUUUUUUUUUCUUUUUAAUUUAUUGUUUCAUUGUUUAUUAUAUGGGCAUUGUGAUAUGUAUUUUUAGAUUGAUAUUGUCAAUUUUGAUAUGCUUUUUAUUAAAU
Molecule: unclassified non-coding RNA, 371 nt
Filed under: Hevea brasiliensis (rubber tree)
Lineage: Eukaryota; Viridiplantae; Streptophyta; Magnoliopsida; Malpighiales; Euphorbiaceae
Source: RNAcentral